Molecule: ribosomal RNA, 561 nt
Filed under: uncultured bacterium
Lineage: Bacteria
Description: bacterial SSU rRNA
Rfam family: Bacterial small subunit ribosomal RNA
Source: RNAcentral
CCAGAUCUCCUACGGGAGGCAGCAGUGGGGAAUUUUCCGCAAUGGGCGAAAGCCUGACGGAGUAACGCCGCGUGAGGGAUGAAGGCCUCUGGGCUGUAAACCUCUUUUAUCAAGGAAGAAGAUCUGACGGUACUUGAUGAAUAAGCCACGGCUAAUUCCGUGCCAGCAGCCGCGGUAAUACGGGAGUGGCAAGCGUUAUCCGGAAUUAUUGGGCGUAAAGCGUCCGCAGGCGGCCCUACAAGUCUGCUGUUAAAAAGUGGAGCUUAACUCCAUCAUGGCAGUGGAAACUGUUGGGCUCGAGUGCGGUAGGGGCAGAGGGAAUUCCCGGUGUAGCGGUGAGAUGCGUAGAUAUCGGGAAGAACACCAGUGGCGAAGGCGCUCUGCUGGGCCAUCACUGACGCUCAUGGACGAAAGCCAGGGGAGCGAAAGGGAUUAGAUACCCCUGUAGUCCUGGCCGUAAACGAUGAACACUAGGUGUCGGGGGAAUCGACCCCUCCGGUGUCGUAGCCAACGCGUUAAGUGUUCCGCCUGGGGAGUACGCACGCAAGUGUGAAACUCAAA